CCCGCACAAGCAGCGGAGCGUGUGGUUUAAUUCGAUGCAACGCGAAGAACCUUACCAGGGUUUGACAUGCAUAAAGUAGAAAACUCGAAAGAGGGACGACCUGUAUCCAAUCAGGAAUUUGCACAGGUGCUGCAUGGCUGUCGUCAGCUCGUGCCGUGAGGUGUUAGGUUAAGUCCUGCAACGAGCGCAACCCUCGUCGCUAGUUAUUUUCUCUAGCGAUACUGCCCGUAUAACGUGGAGGAAGGUGGGGAUGACGUCAAGUCAGCAUGGCCCUUACAUCCUGGGCUACACACACGCUACAAUGGGUGAUACAACAGGUUGCAAUAGAGCGAUCUGGAGCCAAUCCAAAAAAUCAUCCUCAGUUCGGAUUGUAGGCUGCAACUGCCUGCAUGAAGUUGGAGUUGCUAGUAAACGCAGGUCAGCACACUGCGUUGAAUACGUUCUCGGGCCUU
RNAcentral lists this ribosomal RNA (452 nucleotides) under uncultured Chloroflexota bacterium. RNAcentral describes it as "bacterial SSU rRNA". It matches the Rfam family "Bacterial small subunit ribosomal RNA", at positions 920 to 1382 of the family's 1533-position model. The record is from RNAcentral. Lineage: Bacteria; Bacillati; Chloroflexota.